CAUUGUUGCACGGGGUGCUUUUAACUAAUGUUAAAGGCUGAGAUGAAUACCCGCGAACCUGACACGGAUAAUACCGGCGUAGGGAUGCAUUGGCUCAAAAGG
Molecule: non-coding RNA, 102 nt
Filed under: Pedobacter sp.
Lineage: Bacteria; Pseudomonadati; Bacteroidota; Sphingobacteriia; Sphingobacteriales; Sphingobacteriaceae
Also listed under: 1 other name
Description: TPP sequence
Rfam family: TPP riboswitch aptamer (THI element)
About the family: Vitamin B(1) in its active form thiamin pyrophosphate (TPP) is an essential coenzyme that is synthesised by coupling of pyrimidine and thiazole moieties in bacteria.
Source: RNAcentral